Molecule: ribosomal RNA, 458 nt
Filed under: uncultured bacterium
Lineage: Bacteria
Description: partial 16S ribosomal RNA
Rfam family: Bacterial small subunit ribosomal RNA
Source: RNAcentral
CCUACGGGUGGCAGCAGUGAGGAAUAUUGGUCAAUGGGCGAGAGCCUGAACCAGCCAAGUCGCGUGAGGGAGUACUGCCCUAUGGGUGGUAAACCUCUUUUGUCGAGGAGCAAAAGCCGGACGUGUACGGCUGUGAGAGUACCCGAAGAAAAAGCAUCGGCUAACUCCGGGCCAGCAGCCGCGGUAAUACGGAGGAUGCGAGCGUUAUCGGGAUUUAUUGGGGUAAAAGGGUGCGCAGGCGGAUUUUUAAGUCAGCGGUCAAAUCGUGGGGCUCAACCCCAUCCAGCCGUUGAAACUGGGGAUCUAGAGUGUGCGAGAGGUAUGCGGAAUGCGUGGUGUAGCGGUGAAAUGCAUAGAUAUCACGCAGAACCCCGAUUGCGAAGGCAGCAUACCGGUGCACAACUGACGCUCAGGCACGAAAGCGUGGGUAUCGAACAGGAUUAGAUACCCGAGUAGUC